GGCGAUUCUAAAGUGCAUUAAAAUGUAAAAUAUUCAACAAUAUGGCUUAACCACCGAAUCUCACGGCCCGAGAAGUGCAGCAGGUAUUUGCAGAGAUUCUCAGCCAUGGCGAGGACAUCACCUGGGAUCUAUUGCUGCAGAAUCAACGAGACAUUCUGAAAAGGAAAGUUCGAGAAAUAUUUAAUCAGAGACAUAAAUAAUUCUGGACAACGUUUGGACUCUACGUAAAUGCGCCAACGGCCAGUCCCUUUCUGCGUUGUUCUUUGCGGUUAUUGUGAAUGGAGUGACCGACUUGAAGGAGGCAGAUAAUAGCAGAUCACCCAGUUUUCCGCUGCCGUCGCUGCGAUGCCGACACGGAUGGAGGGAUGAGCAGCAGCCCAGACUGUUGCGGUAUGUAUGUGGAUCAAAUCGGGCUCUUUGAGGACUG
Molecule: long non-coding RNA, 427 nt
Organism: Drosophila guanche
Lineage: Eukaryota; Metazoa; Arthropoda; Insecta; Diptera; Drosophilidae
Exons: 4
Source: RefSeq, a predicted model, not a curated record